RNAcentral lists this ribosomal RNA (253 nucleotides) under uncultured bacterium. RNAcentral's name for it is "partial 16S ribosomal RNA". It matches the Rfam family "Bacterial small subunit ribosomal RNA", at positions 524 to 776 of the family's 1533-position model. The record is from RNAcentral.
UACGAGGGGAGCAAGCGUUGUUCGGAUUUACUGGGCGUAAAGGGCGCGUAGGCGGUUAAUUAAGUUAGUUGUUAAAUCUCCGAGCUUAACUCGGAACAGUCAACUAAUACUGAUAAACUAGAGUGCAGAAGAGGCAACCGGAAUUCUUGGUGUAGCGGUGAAAUGCGUAGAUAUCAAGAGGAACACCUGUGGCGAAGGCGGGUUGCUGGGCUGACACUGACGCUGAGGCGCGAAAGCUAGGGUAGCAAACGGG